This 207-nucleotide unclassified non-coding RNA is filed under the name Metarhizium robertsii. Its description in RNAcentral is "partial internal transcribed spacer region". The stretch from base 1 to 46 matches the Rfam family "Eukaryotic small subunit ribosomal RNA", at positions 1786 to 1831 of the family's 1831-position model. Lineage: Eukaryota; Fungi; Ascomycota; Sordariomycetes; Hypocreales; Clavicipitaceae. The record is from RNAcentral.
AAGUCGUAACAAGGUUUCCGUAGGUGAACCUGCGGAGGGAUCAUUACCGAGUUAUCCAACUCCCAACCCCUGUGAAUUAUACCUUUAAUUGUUGCUUCGGCGGGACUUCGCGCCCGCCGGGGACCCAAAACUCUUGUAUUUCUUUAGUAUCUUCUGAGUAAACAAGCAAAUAAAUUAAAACUUUCAACAACGGAUCUCUUGGCUCUG